GCUGCGGAGCCCCGGGAGCUGCGGAGCCCCGGAGCUGCGGAGCCCCGGAGCUGCGGAAUUUCUGCCCCGGGAGCUGCGGAGCCCCGGGAGCUGCGGAGCCCCCGGAGCUGCGGAGCCGCUGCCCCCGGAGCUGCGGAGCCCCGGGAGCUGCGGAGCCCCCGGAGCUGCGGAGCCCCCGGAGCUGCGGAGCCCCGGAGCUGCGGAGCCCCGGAAUUUCUGCCCCGGGAGCUGCGGAAUUUCUGCCCCGGGAGCUGCGGAGCCGCUGGCCCGGGAGCUGCGGAGCCCCGGGAGCUGCGGAGCCCCCGGAGCUGCGGAGCCCCGGAGCUGCGGAGCCCCCGGAGCUGCGGAAUUUCUGCCCCGGGAGCUGCGAAAUCGCUGCCCCGGGAGCUGCGAGCAGCCGAGCCGCAGAGCCUGGAGCUUUUCUGCUUCUUGGAGUGGGUCACGGGGAAGGAACACGUAGAGCUUGUUUGCCAGCCGCAUGAUUUGGCUUAUUUGCUCUCUUGUAGCAGGUGCUUAAUUGUGGCAGAAAAGGGUUCCCGGCAGCUUUCUGGGCAGCCAAAUUCCCGCCUGCCCCUUUCGCAGCCAGGCAAAACAAAAGCACGAUUGUCAACCGCAGGCGGAGCGGAGCUCUCUCGGGCCUCCUUCCCGGGAGAAAAGGUUUCCCGGCAGGAGAGAGCGGACGAUGGAGGCACCCAGCGAGCCCACGCUGUGGCAAAGCUUGGCACGGCACGGAACAGCACAGCAUGGCACGGCUGCCCCUGGCACAGCUGCCCAGUGCCAUCCCCCUUCCCUCAGCACCGCGAUCUCCUCUGGCUGGGCUGUGAUUAAAAGGCGUUUUGCUUCCCGCUCCCAUCUCUCCAGUUUUAAACCUGUCCCCAAGGAAUUCUGUCUGUCCGGCUCCGUGAUCCUGACUCCACACCCCAGGCUGAGCUCUGGGGGUCACACCAAGCCCCCUGUUCACCCCACAGCAUCCUCCUCCCUCCAUCUCCCACUCCCCAGCCAGGAAUGAAGAAGCCCUCAGGAGAUCCAAGAUACGAGCAGACAUUGCUCCAGCCCCAGUAAAAUUUUUUUGACUCUCCAGUUUAAAGCCAGGGCAUUUCUACCCUUCCCAGGUGCUGCCAGGAGCCUGCCCAGCCUCACUGGGGACAGGAUGCAG
This 1156-nucleotide long non-coding RNA is filed under the name Lonchura striata (white-rumped munia). Its description in RNAcentral is "domestica (Bengalese finch) lncRNA (ENSLSDG00000000603.1)". The record is from RNAcentral. Lineage: Eukaryota; Metazoa; Chordata; Aves; Passeriformes; Estrildidae.